RNAcentral lists this long non-coding RNA (228 nucleotides) under Lathyrus oleraceus (garden pea). RNAcentral's name for it is "Pisum sativum (pea) long non-coding RNA (PSAT_LNC004518)". The record is from RNAcentral. Lineage: Eukaryota; Viridiplantae; Streptophyta; Magnoliopsida; Fabales; Fabaceae.
CGGUACUCGGUGUUUGAUCCCUAGAAUCCCUUUAUCCCUUGGAUAGAUUCCCCAGUGGAGUUGCUUAUGCGGCAGAUUUUUAUCUGUGCAAUAACUCCUGUCCCCAGCUGGAAUGACUGAUGUUCAUCCCCCGCAGGGAUACCCUUUAUCCCUUGGAUAGAUUCCCCAGUGGAGUUGCUUAUGCGGCAGAUUUUUAUCUGUGCAAUAACUCCUGUCCCCAGCUGGAAU